GGAACAAAUGGGGGCAGACUGAGCCACGAGCUUGAAGAGCCGGCUCUGCAUGAUUGUAUUAUCCCAAGAGACUCCGGCCCUGUUUCUCCCGCGCACAGAAGGGUUCUGUGCGCACUGAGGUUCAAAUGCAAGAAUAAUUGUGAACACAAAAGUACUAUUCCAAGGCAGAGACCACCGCCAUUCCUUGAACCUCACGGUAACUAUGUGCCAAGAGCUGCAUGAACCCGACCGAACUGAAUAGGAUGUGCAAGGACAUGAUAUAUGAGAAGACUUGAGUUCCAGUCCUGACUAUGGCACUGCCAGACACAGCUUUUAAGUUGUCUUCAGCAUUUACAUACUAUUAACCCAUACUUGGCCUCGUCUGAUCCUCAAAAAACUUGGCUUAUUGAAGAAGGUCCCUCCCUGAGGAAAUCCCCAUCAUGACAAGCACUCAGAGAAGUUGGUUGGUACAGAGUUUCUCUGCUGGUUACCCCAGGUGUGGUGUGGACCCCAGAAGGAUGACAGUUUGAAUCCAAGGGCAGUCCCCUUCCUGGCACAGCAAGCAAAAUAAAGUGAAGCCCCUGGAGGCUCAGGCUCCACAGCAAGACCACAGAGAAGACCAGCCCUCUCCCAUUGCCACAAAGACAAGAGAUAGCUUGAAAGAAGACAGCUAAAAGUGGACAAAGAUGAGCUGGGGGGCCCAUAGGAGAGGAUUCAUACCACCCAGCCCCCUGUGGCACCUUCUUCCAGCGUAAAAUCCCGCGAGACUGG
RNAcentral lists this long non-coding RNA (750 nucleotides) under Homo sapiens (human). Its description in RNAcentral is "HSALNT0291467". The record is from RNAcentral. Lineage: Eukaryota; Metazoa; Chordata; Mammalia; Primates; Hominidae.